AGUGAACGCUGGCGGUAGGCCUAACACAUGCAAGUCGAACGGCAGCACAGUAAGAGCUUGCUCUUACGGGUGGCGAGUGGCGGACGGGUGAGGAAUACAUCGGCCUCUACUUUUUCGUGGGGGAUAACGAAGGGGAACUUACGCUAAUACCGCAUACGACCUACGGGUGAGAGCAGGGGAUCUUCGGACCUUGCGCGAUUGAAUGAGCCGAUGUCGGAUUAGCUAGUUGGCGGGGUAAAGGCCCACCAGGGCGACGAUCCGUUGCUGGUGUGAGAGGAGGGUCAGCCACACUGGAGCUUAGCCGCGGUCCUGGCUCCUACGGGAGGCACCAGUGGGGAAUGGUGGGCAGUGGGCGCAAGCCUGAUCCAGCCAUACCGCGUGGGUGGAGAAGGCCUUCGGGUUGUAAAGCCGUUUUGUUGGGAGAGAAACGCAGCAGGUUAAUACCACGCUGGUGUGACGGUACCGGGUGAAUAAGCACCGGCUAACUUCGUG
This 492-nucleotide ribosomal RNA is filed under the name uncultured bacterium. RNAcentral describes it as "partial 16S ribosomal RNA". It matches the Rfam family "Bacterial small subunit ribosomal RNA", at positions 28 to 507 of the family's 1533-position model. The record is from RNAcentral.